GCCUGGGUGGCUUGGUCGGUUAAGCGUCUGACUUCGGCUCAGGUCACCAUCUGACGGUCCGUGAGUUCGAGCCUCGCGUCGGGCU
Molecule: transfer RNA, 85 nt
Filed under: Felis catus (domestic cat)
Lineage: Eukaryota; Metazoa; Chordata; Mammalia; Carnivora; Felidae
Rfam family: tRNA
About the family: Transfer RNA (tRNA) molecules are approximately 80 nucleotides in length. Their secondary structure includes four short double-helical elements and three loops (D, anti-codon, and T loops).
Source: Rfam by way of RNAcentral